Molecule: small RNA, 582 nt
Filed under: Pongo abelii (Sumatran orangutan)
Lineage: Eukaryota; Metazoa; Chordata; Mammalia; Primates; Hominidae
Description: retained intron
Source: RNAcentral
ACAUGUGUAUGUGAUUGUCUCAUGAUUAAUUGGGAAGAAUUUUGUCAUUUUUACUGAAGUCACUUGUACAGAGAUGCCAAAGGAUGUUUGUGAUCUCUUGUUUAUUUAUUGGCGGCCUUGGUCACGGUGAGAAGAAAUGUUCUCAGAGUAUUUUGUGUAUUGCAAAAGGGAGGUGCCAUUUUCAUAAUGAAAAAUUAACAACAUAUCCAUCAAAUUAGUCAGAAGAGAAAUAAUGCAUUGUUUUUUACUUGCAGAAAAAUUAGACACUAUGUGUCCAUUAUCAGAGUGUGCAAUGGCAACAAUAAGGCUGAGAAAAUAUCCGAAUGUGUUCAGUCUGACAGUCAUACAGAUAAUCAGACAGGCAAACAUAAAGACAGGAGAAAAGGCUCACUAGACGUCAAAGCUGUUGCCUCCCGUGCAACUGAAGUUUCCAGCCAGAGACGACACUCUUCCAUGGCCCGGAUACAUUCCAUGACAAUUGAGGCGCCCAUCACCAAGGUAAUCAAUAUUAUCAAUGCUGCCCAGGAAAGUAGUCCCAUGCCUGUGACAGAAGCCCUAGACCGUGUGCUGGAAAUUCUGAGA